GCAUUAAUGGGGUAGUGGUAACCUGGGUCGUUGCCAUAUCAUCUUUAUGUAGGGGAUAUAAGUUACAGCUCGACCCGCCGGGAGUUCGAUUCUCUCUUAAUGCA
Molecule: non-coding RNA, 104 nt
Organism: Pholiota molesta
Lineage: Eukaryota; Fungi; Basidiomycota; Agaricomycetes; Agaricales; Strophariaceae
Source: the annotation of a GenBank genome assembly